GAACGCUGGCGGCGUGCUUAACACAUGCAAGUCGAACGGAAAGGCCCUGCUUUUGUGGGGUGCUCGAGUGGCGAACGGGUGAGUAACACGUGAGUAACCUGCCCUUGACUUUGGGAUAACUUCAGGAAACUGGGGCUAAUACCGGAUAGGAGCUCCUGCUGCAUGGUGGGGGUUGGAAAGUUUCGGCGGUUGGGGAUGGACUCGCGGCUUAUCAGCUUGUUGGUGGGGUAGUGGCUUACCAAGGCUUUGACGGGUAGCCGGCCUGAGAGGGUGACCGGCCACAUUGGGACUGAGAUACGGCCCAGACUCCUACGGGAGGCAGCAGUGGGGAAUAUUGCACAAUGGGCGGAAGCCUGAUGCAGCAACGCCGCGUGCGGGAUGACGGCCUUCGGGUUGUAAACCGCUUUCGCCUGUGACGAAGCGUGAGUGACGGUAAUGGGUAAAGAAGCACCGGCUAACUACGUGCCAGCAGCCGCGGUGAUACGUAGGGUGCGAGCGUUGUCCGGAUUUAUUGGGCGUAAAGGGCUCGUAGGUGGUUGAUCGCGUCGGAAGUGUAAUCUUGGGGCUUAACCCUGAGCGUGCUUUCGAUACGGGUUGACUUGAGGAAGGUAGGGGAGAAUGGAAUUCCUGGUGGAGCGGUGGAAUGCGCAGAUAUCAGGAGGAACACCAGUGGCGAAGGCGGUUCUCUGGGCCUUUCCUGACGCUGAGGAGCGAAAGCGUGGGGAGCGAACAGGCUUAGAUACCCUGGUAGUCCACGCUGUAAACGGUGGGUACUAGGUGUGGGGUCCAUUCCACGGGUUCCGUGCCGUAGCUAACGCUUUAAGUACCCCGCCUGGGGAGUACGGCCGCAAGGCUAAAACUCAAAGGAAUUGACGGGGCCCCGCACAAGCGGCGGAGCAUGCGGAUUAAUUCGAUGCAACGCGUAGAACCUUACCUGGGUUUGACAUGGAUCGGGAGUGCUCAGAGAUGGGUGUGCCUCUUUUGGGGUCGGUUCACAGGUGGUGCAUGGCUGUCGUCAGCUCGUGUCGUGAGAUGUUGGGUUAAGUCCCGCAACGAGCGCAACCCUUGUUCACUGUUGCCAGCACGUUAUGGUGGGGACUCAGUGGAGACCGCCGGGGUCAACUCGGAGGAAGGUGGGGAUGACGUCAAGUCAUCAUGCCCCUUAUGUCCAGGGCUUCACGCAUGCUACAAUGGCUGGUACAGAGAGUGGCGAGCCUGUGAGGGUGAGCGAAUCUCGGAAAGCCGGUCUCAGUUCGGAUUGGGGUCUGCAACUCGACCUCAUGAAGUCGGAGUCGCUAGUAAUCGCAGAUCAGCAACGCUGCGGUGAAUACGUUCCCGGGGCUUGUACACACCGCCCGUCAAGUCAUGAAAGUUGGUAACACCCGAAGCCGGUGGCCUAACCAUUGUGGGGGAGCCGUCGAAGGUGGGACUGGUGAUU
RNAcentral lists this ribosomal RNA (1438 nucleotides) under uncultured organism. Its description in RNAcentral is "16S ribosomal RNA". It matches the Rfam family "Bacterial small subunit ribosomal RNA". The record is from RNAcentral.